UAUUGCACAAUGGGGGAAACCCUGAUGCAGCGACGCCGCGUGAGUGAAGAAGUAUUUCGGUACGUAAAGCUCUAUCAGCAGGGAAGAAAAUGACGGUACCUAACUAAGAUGCCUCGGCUAACUACGUGCCAGCAGCCGCGGUAAUACGUAGGGGGCAAGCGUUAUCCGGAUUUACUGAGUGUAAAGGGAGCGUAGACGGCAGCAAAAGUCUGGGGUGAAAUCCCGCAGCUCAACUGCGGAACUGCUUUGGAAACUGUGCAGCUGGAGUGCAGGAGAGGUAAGCGGAAUUCCUAGUGUAGCGGUGAAAUGCGUAGAUAUUGGGAGGAACACCAGUGGCGAAGGCGGCUUACUGGACUGUAACUGACGUUGAGGCUCGAAAGCGUGGGGAGCAAACAGG
Molecule: ribosomal RNA, 397 nt
Filed under: uncultured bacterium
Lineage: Bacteria
Description: bacterial SSU rRNA
Rfam family: Bacterial small subunit ribosomal RNA
Source: RNAcentral